AACGCACAUUGCGCCCUGUGGUAUUCCACAGGGCAUGCCUGUUUGAGCGUCAUUUCUCUCUCAAACCCUUGGGUUUGGUAUUGAGUGAUACUCCCAGUCAGACUAGGCGUUUGCUUGAAAUGUAUCGGCGGAGUGGUACUUGCGCGUGACGAAAUAUCAAUGUAUUAGGUUCUACCAACUCGUUGUUUUUUCUGAAUAAGCUUGUAUCGUUGCCUCGCAGUACAAAUCAACAACCAGUUUGACCUCAAAUCAGGUAGGAUUACCCGCUGAACUUAA
This 276-nucleotide unclassified non-coding RNA is filed under the name uncultured fungus. Its description in RNAcentral is "sequence contains ITS2". The stretch from base 1 to 52 matches the Rfam family "5.8S ribosomal RNA", at positions 103 to 154 of the family's 154-position model. The record is from RNAcentral. Lineage: Eukaryota; Fungi.